RNAcentral lists this small nuclear RNA (96 nucleotides) under Cricetulus griseus (Chinese hamster). Lineage: Eukaryota; Metazoa; Chordata; Mammalia; Rodentia; Cricetidae. The record is from RNAcentral.
AAAAAUAUGGAACGUGUCACGAAUUUGCGUGUCAUCCUUGUGCUAAUCUUCUCUGUAUCGUUCCAAUUUUAGUAUAUGUGCUGCUGAAGUGAGCAC